This is a long non-coding RNA of Anoplopoma fimbria (sablefish), 684 nucleotides long. RefSeq lists it as uncharacterized. Lineage: Eukaryota; Metazoa; Chordata; Actinopteri; Perciformes; Anoplopomatidae. The record is from RefSeq and is a predicted model, not a curated record. The transcript is spliced from 5 exons.
CCAUAGCAGCAGUGAGAUGAGGAGUGCCACCUACUCCACUGCACGUCUGUACUGAGAGAAGGAAGAAGGGAGAAAAAGAGUUGUACAACCACGGUGUUCCAAAGGAUAUCCUCUAAUCAGCACUGAACCUCUCCUGAGAAAAAUCUUCAAACUAGUCAUGGAACAGAAGGCGAAUGAGUGUCCUACCACCACCACCACCACCACAUCUCCUCAGAAGCACAUGAAGAACAGAUCCAAAUCCACAGAGGAGAUGCAACAGACAAAGAAGUCCUUAUCCUCACAAAAAUCACUCCCGGGCAGACCAGAGCUGGAAAAAGUGAAGGAGUGUCCUGAUGGCUCUGACACUCCCUCGUCCUCCACCGAGGAGCUGAAGUGACGAACGGAAGGACAUUAGACUUAAGCCAUCAAGUUACAAGAUCAUCACUUAACAUGCAUAAAAAGAACAAAUAUACACAGGGAAACAUACAAAAUAUGAUUCAAGAUAUUUGUGAACUAGAUUAGAAAACACACAAGCAAUUAAUUUAUGAUUGGUGGAAAUAAACUUUUCAAAACAUGGUAAAUUGAACACACACACACACACACACACACACACACACACACACACACACACACACACACACACUGAAACAAUCACUUGUAAACCUGUGAUGAUGCUGUUUCAUGGUACUGUGAGUGUCGUAUACA